UUCCGGUUGAUCCUGCCGGAGGUUACUGCUAUCCGAAUUCGACUAAGCUAUGCAAGUCUUGGGUAAAACCAAGGCGUACUGCUCAGUAACGCGUAGUUAAUCUGCCCUUAGGCUCGGUCUAAUCCCGGGAAACUGGGGCCGAGGACCGGAUAGGCCAGGAAUGCUGGAAUGCAUCCUGGCUGAACUAAGGAUGAGAUUGCGACCUAUCAGGCUGUUGGGAGUGUAACGUACUCCCAAACCGAUAACGGGUACGGGCCUUGAGAGAGGAAGCCCGGAGAUGGAUUCUGAGACAUGAAUCCAGGCCCUACGGGGCGCAGCAAGCGCGAAAAUUUCACAAUACCCGCAAGGGUGAUGAAGGGAUUUGGAGUGCCUUCUCAUUUUUUGAGGAGGCUUUUACCGAGUCUAAAUCACUCGGAGAAUAAGCAGUGGGUAAGACGGGUGCCAGCCGCCGCGGUAAUACCCGCGCUGCUAGUGGUAACCACAUUUAUUGGGUUUGAAGCGUUCGUAGCCGGUUUGGUAAGUUUCUGAUGAAAUCCCAUAGUAAACUAUGGGGCUUGUCAGGGAUACUGCCAGACUUGGGACCGGGAGAGGUCAAAGGUAUUCCUAGGGUAGGAGUAAAAUCUUAUAAUCCUAGGAGGACCACCUGUGGCGAAGGCGUUUGACUAGAACGGAUCCGACGGUGAGGGACGAAAGCCAGGGGAGCGAAGCGGAUUAGAUACCCGCGUAGUCCUAGCUGUAAACGAUGCCCACUAGGCAUUGGCAGCCUUAAGGGGGCUGUCAGAGCCGUAGGAAAACCGUUAAGUGGGCCGCCUGGGGAGUACGGUCGCAAGGCUGAAACUUAAGGGAAUUGGCGGGGGAGCACACAAGGGGUGGAGGCUGCGGUUCAAUUGGAUCUAACGCCAGGAACCUUACCAGAGGCGACAGCAGAAUGAAGGUCAGAUUUAAGGUCUUACCAGACAAGCUGAGAAGUGCUGCAUGGCCGUCGUCAGUUCGUGCCGUGAGGUGUCAACUUAAGUGUUGUAACGAACAAGACCCGUGCCCUAUGUUGCCAUCUUUCCUUUUGGGAAGAGCACUCAUAGGGGACCGCUGCUGAUAAAGCAGAGGAAGGGACGGUCGACGGCAGGUCCGUAUGGUCUGAAUCCUCUGGGCUACACGCGGCCUACAAUGGCUGGAACAAUGGGAUGCGACACCGAAAGGUGAAGCCAAUCUCCAAAUCCAGUCUUAGUCCGAAUCGAGGGCUGCAACUCGCCCUCGUGAAGCCGAAAUCCCUAGUAGGCGCAGGUCAUCAUCUUGCGUCGAAUAUGUUCCUGUUCCUUGCACACACUGCCCGUCAAGCCAACCGAGUGGGAUUUUGACGAGCUCUCGGUUUUUGCCGGGAUCAAGUCAGAGUCCUGCGAGAGGGGCUAAGUCGUAACAAGGUAGCC
This 1424-nucleotide ribosomal RNA is filed under the name uncultured archaeon. Its description in RNAcentral is "bacterial SSU rRNA". It matches the Rfam family "Archaeal small subunit ribosomal RNA". The record is from RNAcentral.